GGGUUGUGAGGUUAAGCGACUAAGCGUACACGGUGGAUGCCCUGGCAGUCAGAGGCGAUGAAGGACGUGCUAAUCUGCGAUAAGCGUCGGUAAGGUGAUAUGAACCGUUAUAACCGGCGAUUUCCGAAUGGGGAAACCCAGUGUGUUUCGACACACUAUCAUUAACUGAAUCCAUAGGUUAAUGAGGCGAACCGGGGGAACUGAAACAUCUAAGUACCCCGAGGAAAAGAAAUCAACCGAGAUUCCCCCAGUAGCGGCGAGCGAACGGGGAGCAGCCCAGAGCCUGAAUCAGUGUGUGUGUUAGUGGAAGCGUCUGGAAAGGCGCGCGAUACAGGGUGACAGCCCCGUACACAAAAAUGCACAUGCUGUGAGCUCGAUGAGUAGGGCGGGACACGUGGUAUCCUGUCUGAAUAUGGGGGGACCAUCCUCCAAGGCUAAAUACUCCUGACUGACCGAUAGUGAACCAGUACCGUGAGGGAAAGGCGAAAAGAACCCCGGCGAGGGGAGUGAAAAAGAACCUGAAACCGUGUACGUACAAGCAGUGGGAGCACGCUUAGGCGUGUGACUGCGUACCUUUUGUAUAAUGGGUCAGCGACUUAUAUUCUGUAGCAAGGUUAACCGAAUAGGGGAGCCGAAGGGAAACCGAGUCUUAACUGGGCGUUAAGUUGCAGGGUAUAGACCCGAAACCCGGUGAUCUAGCCAUGGGCAGGUUGAAGGUUGGGUAACACUAACUGGAGGACCGAACCGACUAAUGUUGAAAAAUUAGCGGAUGACUUGUGGCUGGGGGUGAAAGGCCAAUCAAACCGGGAGAUAGCUGGUUCUCCCCGAAAGCUAUUUAGGUAGCGCCUCGUGAAUUCAUCUCCGGGGGUAGAGCACUGUUUCGGCAAGGGGGUCAUCCCGACUUACCAACCCGAUGCAAACUGCGAAUACCGGAGAAUGUUAUCACGGGAGACACACGGCGGGUGCUAACGUCCGUCGUGAAGAGGGAAACAACCCAGACCGCCAGCUAAGGUCCCAAAGUCAUGGUUAAGUGGGAAACGAUGUGGGAAGGCCCAGACAGCCAGGAUGUUGGCUUAGAAGCAGCCAUCAUUUAAAGAAAGCGUAAUAGCUCACUGGUCGAGUCGGCCUGCGCGGAAGAUGUAACGGGGCUAAACCAUGCACCGAAGCUGCGGCAGCGACGCUUAUGCGUUGUUGGGUAGGGGAGCGUUCUGUAAGCCUGCGAAGGUGUGCUGUGAGGCAUGCUGGAGGUAUCAGAAGUGCGAAUGCUGACAUAAGUAACGAUAAAGCGGGUGAAAAGCCCGCUCGCCGGAAGACCAAGGGUUCCUGUCCAACGUUAAUCGGGGCAGGGUGAGUCGACCCCUAAGGCGAGGCCGAAAGGCGUAGUCGAUGGGAAACAGGUUAAUAUUCCUGUACUUGGUGUUACUGCGAAGGGGGGACGGAGAAGGCUAUGUUGGCCGGGCGACGGUUGUCCCGGUUUAAGCGUGUAGGCUGGUUUUCCAGGCAAAUCCGGAAAAUCAAGGCUGAGGCGUGAUGACGAGGCACUACGGUGCUGAAGCAACAAAUGCCCUGCUUCCAGGAAAAGCCUCUAAGCAUCAGGUAACAUCAAAUCGUACCCCAAACCGACACAGGUGGUCAGGUAGAGAAUACCAAGGCGCUUGAGAGAACUCGGGUGAAGGAACUAGGCAAAAUGGUGCCGUAACUUCGGGAGAAGGCACGCUGAUAUGUAGGUGAAGCGACUUGCUCGUGGAGCUGAAAUCAGUCGAAGAUACCAGCUGGCUGCAACUGUUUAUUAAAAACACAGCACUGUGCAAACACGAAAGUGGACGUAUACGGUGUGACGCCUGCCCGGUGCCGGAAGGUUAAUUGAUGGGGUUAGCCGCAAGGCGAAGCUCUUGAUCGAAGCCCCGGUAAACGGCGGCCGUAACUAUAACGGUCCUAAGGUAGCGAAAUUCCUUGUCGGGUAAGUUCCGACCUGCACGAAUGGCGUAAUGAUGGCCAGGCUGUCUCCACCCGAGACUCAGUGAAAUUGAACUCGCUGUGAAGAUGCAGUGUACCCGCGGCAAGACGGAAAGACCCCGUGAACCUUUACUAUAGCUUGACACUGAACAUUGAGCCUUGAUGUGUAGGAUAGGUGGGAGGCUUUGAAGUGUGGACGCCAGUCUGCAUGGAGCCGACCUUGAAAUACCACCCUUUAAUGUUUGAUGUUCUAACGUUGACCCGUAAUCCGGGUUGCGGACAGUGUCUGGUGGGUAGUUUGACUGGGGCGGUCUCCUCCUAAAGAGUAACGGAGGAGCACGAAGGUUGGCUAAUCCUGGUCGGACAUCAGGAGGUUAGUGCAAUGGCAUAAGCCAGCUUGACUGCGAGCGUGACGGCGCGAGCAGGUGCGAAAGCAGGUCAUAGUGAUCCGGUGGUUCUGAAUGGAAGGGCCAUCGCUCAACGGAUAAAAGGUACUCCGGGGAUAACAGGCUGAUACCGCCCAAGAGUUCAUAUCGACGGCGGUGUUUGGCACCUCGAUGUCGGCUCAUCACAUCCUGGGGCUGAAGUAGGUCCCAAGGGUAUGGCUGUUCGCCAUUUAAAGUGGUACGCGAGCUGGGUUUAGAACGUCGUGAGACAGUUCGGUCCCUAUCUGCCGUGGGCGCUGGAGAACUGAGGGGGGCUGCUCCUAGUACGAGAGGACCGGAGUGGACGCAUCACUGGUGUUCGGGUUGUCAUGCCAAUGGCACUGCCCGGUAGCUAAAUGCGGAAGAGAUAAGUGCUGAAAGCAUCUAAGCACGAAACUUGCCCCGAGAUGAGUUCUCCCUGACUCCUUGAGAGUCCUGAAGGAACGUUGAAGACGACGACGUUGAUAGGCCGGGUGUGUAAGCGCAGCGAUGCGUUGAGCUAACCGGUACUAAUGAACCGUGAGGCUUAACCUUACAACGCCGAAG
This 2927-nucleotide ribosomal RNA is filed under the name Escherichia coli. RNAcentral's name for it is "23S ribosomal RNA". It matches the Rfam family "Bacterial large subunit ribosomal RNA". Lineage: Bacteria; Pseudomonadati; Pseudomonadota; Gammaproteobacteria; Enterobacterales; Enterobacteriaceae. The record is from RNAcentral.